AACGAACGCUGGCGGCAUGCCUAACACAUGCAAGUCGAACGAGACCUUCGGGUCUAGUGGCGCACGGGUGCGUAACGCGUGGGAACCUGCCCUUAGGUUCGGAAUAACUCCCCGAAAGGGGUGCUAAUACCGGAUAAUGUCCUCGGACCAAAGAUUUAUCGCCUUUGGAUGGGCCCGCGUUGGAUUAGCUAGUUGGUAGGGUAAAAGCCUACCAAGGCGACGAUCCAUAGCUGGUCUGAGAGGAUGAUCAGCCACACUGGGACUGAGACACGGCCCAGACUCCUACGGGAGGCAGCAGUGGGGAAUAUUGGACAAUGGGCGAAAGCCUGAUCCAGCAAUGCCGCGUGAGUGAUGAAGGCCUUAGGGUUGUAAAGCUCUUUUACCCGGGGUGAUAAUGACAGUACCGGGAGAAUAAGCUCCGGCUAACUCCGUG
This 433-nucleotide ribosomal RNA is filed under the name uncultured bacterium. Its description in RNAcentral is "partial 16S ribosomal RNA". It matches the Rfam family "Bacterial small subunit ribosomal RNA", at positions 29 to 507 of the family's 1533-position model. The record is from RNAcentral.